GGUGGCUCAGUGGUAGAGCGCUUGCCUUACAUGCUAGAGGCCUUGGGUUCGAUUCCUCAGCACCA
Molecule: non-coding RNA, 65 nt
Organism: Dipodomys ordii (Ord's kangaroo rat)
Lineage: Eukaryota; Metazoa; Chordata; Mammalia; Rodentia; Heteromyidae
Source: Rfam